This 465-nucleotide ribosomal RNA is filed under the name uncultured bacterium. RNAcentral's name for it is "partial 16S ribosomal RNA". It matches the Rfam family "Bacterial small subunit ribosomal RNA", at positions 28 to 507 of the family's 1533-position model. The record is from RNAcentral.
GACGAACGCUGGCGGCGUGCUUAACACAUGCAAGUCGUACGGUAAGGCCCUUUCGGGGAUACACGAGUGGCGCACGGGUGAGUAACACGUGAGUAACCUCCCCACAACUUUGGUAUAACGCGAGGAAACUGGUGCUAAUACUGUAUAUGUUCUCCUUCUGCAUGCGGGGGUUGGGAGAGCUCCGGCGGGUGGGGGUGGACUCGCGGACUAUCAGCUUGUUGGUGGGGUAGUGGACUACCAAGGCGGCGAGGGGUAGCCGGCCUGAGAGUGUGACCGGCCACACUCGGACUGGGCUACGGCGCAGACCAGCACGGGAGGCAGUAGGGGGGAAUAUUGCACAAUGGGGGAGAGACGGCUGCAGCGACGCCGCGUGCGGGAUGACGGCCUUCGGGUUGUAAACCGCUUUCAGCAGGGACGAAGCUUCUUGUGACGGUAGCUGGAGAAGAAGCACCGGCUAACUACGUG